AAUUAGCCCCGAUUGCAGUGGUUAUCCUUUUUUUUGGUUGGGAAAUCAGUGUGAGGGCGAAAAAAAGAUAGUAACGGAAAGCGGGAAUUUGU
RNAcentral lists this small RNA (92 nucleotides) under Balneicella halophila. Its description in RNAcentral is "Flavo-1 RNA". It matches the Rfam family "Flavo-1 RNA". Lineage: Bacteria; Pseudomonadati; Bacteroidota; Bacteroidia; Bacteroidales; Balneicellaceae. The record is from Rfam by way of RNAcentral.